This 480-nucleotide ribosomal RNA is filed under the name uncultured bacterium. Its description in RNAcentral is "bacterial SSU rRNA". It matches the Rfam family "Bacterial small subunit ribosomal RNA", at positions 29 to 521 of the family's 1533-position model. The record is from RNAcentral.
AACGAACGUUGGCGGCGUGCUUAACACAUGCAAGUCGAGCGCGAAUCCUUGCUUCGGCGAGGUAGUAGAGCGGCGAACGGGUGAGUAACACGUGAGUAAUCUACCUUCAAGUUUGGGAUAACGACCCGAAAGGGUUGCUAAUACUGGAUAAGACCACAACGCCCUUGGGCGACGUGAGAAAAGGCUUCGGUCGCUUGAAGAUGAGCUCGCGUCCCAUUAGCUAGUUGGUGAGGUAAUGGCUCACCAAGGCUUCGAUGGGUAGCUGGUUUUAGAGGAUGAUCAGCCACACUGGAACUGAGACACGGUCCAGACUCCUACGGGAGGCAGCAGUGGGGAAUCUUGCGCAAUGGGCGAAAGCCUGACGCAGCAACGCCGCGUGAGUGAUGAAGGCCCUCGGGUCGUAAAGCUCUGUCCUGGGAGAAGAAUUUUGACGGUAUCCCAGAAGAAAGCACCGGCUAACUCCGUGCCAGCAGCCGCGGU